AAAGCGAUUCAGCGGGUUACGAUUGACGGAGCGAAGCGACGUCAAAGCGUAUACAAAGUCGAGUCGGUUUAAGGAUACGUUCGUUGGGUAGGGGAGCGUUCUGUAAGCCUGUGAAGGUGGCCUGUGAGGGUUGCUGGAGGUAUCAGAAGUGCGAAUGCUGACAUAAGUAACGAUAAAGCGGGUGAAAAGCCCGCUCGCCGGAAGACCAAGGGUUCCUGUCCAACGUUAAUCGGGGCAGGGUGAGUCGACCCCUAAGGCGAGGCCGAAAGGCGUAGUCGAUGGGAAACGGGUUAAUAUUCCCGUACUUGGUGUUACUGCGAAGGGGGGACGGAGAAGGCUAUGUUGGCCGGGCGACGGUUGUCCCGGUUUAAGCGUGUAGGUGUGUGUUCCAGGUAAAUCCGGUUCACUUUAACACUGAGGCGUGACGACGAGGCACUACGGUGCUGAAGCAACAAAUGCCCUGCUUCCAGGAAAAGCCUCUAAGCAUCAGGUAACAUCAAAUCGUACCCCAAACCGACACAGGUGGUCAGGUAGAGAAUACCAAGGCGCUUGAGAGAACUCGGGUGAAGGAACUAGGCAAAAUGGUGCCGUAACU
RNAcentral lists this ribosomal RNA (595 nucleotides) under Salmonella enterica subsp. enterica serovar Panama. Its description in RNAcentral is "partial 23S ribosomal RNA". It matches the Rfam family "Bacterial large subunit ribosomal RNA", at positions 1164 to 1735 of the family's 2925-position model. The record is from RNAcentral. Lineage: Bacteria; Pseudomonadati; Pseudomonadota; Gammaproteobacteria; Enterobacterales; Enterobacteriaceae.